GACGAACGCUGGCGGCGUGCUUAACACAUGCAAGUCGAACGGAAAGGCCCUGCUUUUGUGGGGUGCUCGAGUGGCGAACGGGUGAGUAACACGUGAGUAACCUGCCCUUGACUUUGGGAUAACUUCAGGAAACUGGGGCUAAUACCGGAUAGGAGCUCCUGCUGCAUGGUGGGGGUUGGAAAGUUUCGGCGGUUGGGGAUGGACUCGCGGCUUGUCAGCUUGUUGGUGGGGUAGUGGCUUACCAAGGCUUUGACGGGUAGCCGGCCUGAGAGGGUGACCGGCCAAAGUGGGACGUGGUAACGGCCCAGACUCCUACGGGGGGAAGGGGGGGGGAAUUUUGCACAAAGGGCGGAAGCCUGAGGCAGCAACGCCGGGUGGGGGAUGACGGCCUUCGGGUUGUAAACAGCUUUCGCCUGUGACGAAGCGUGGGUGACGGUAAUGGGUAAAAAAGCACCGGUAAACUACGG
Molecule: ribosomal RNA, 467 nt
Filed under: uncultured bacterium
Lineage: Bacteria
Description: partial 16S ribosomal RNA
Rfam family: Bacterial small subunit ribosomal RNA
Source: RNAcentral